This 77-nucleotide transfer RNA is filed under the name Klebsiella pneumoniae. RNAcentral describes it as "tRNA-Gly". It matches the Rfam family "tRNA". From Rfam's summary of the family: Transfer RNA (tRNA) molecules are approximately 80 nucleotides in length. Their secondary structure includes four short double-helical elements and three loops (D, anti-codon, and T loops). The record is from RNAcentral. Lineage: Bacteria; Pseudomonadati; Pseudomonadota; Gammaproteobacteria; Enterobacterales; Enterobacteriaceae.
GCGGGAANUAGCUCAGUUGGUAGAGCACGACCUUGCCAAGGUCGGGGUCGCGAGUUCGAGUCUCGUUUCCCGCUCCA